GGAGCUUGCUCCUUGAUUCAGCGGCGGACGGGUGAGUAAUGCCUAGGAAUCUGCCUGGUAGUGGGGGACAACGUUUCGAAAGGAACGCUAAUACCGCAUACGUCCUACGGGAGAAAGCAGGGGACCUUCGGGCCUUGCGCUAUCAGAUGAGCCUAGGUCGGAUUAGCUAGUUGGUGGGGUAAUGGCUCACCAAGGCGACGAUCCGUAACUGGUCUGAGAGGAUGAUCAGUCACACUGGAACUGAGACACGGUCCAGACUCCUACGGGAGGCAGCAGUGGGGAAUAUUGGACAAUGGGCGAAAGCCUGAUCCAGCCAUGCCGCGUGUGUGAAGAAGGUCUUCGGAUUGUAAAGCACUUUAAGUUGGGAGGAAGGGCAGUAAGCUAAUACCUUGCUGUUUUGACGUUACCGACAGAAUAAGCACCGGCUAACUCUGUGCCAGCAGCCGCGGUAAUACAGAGGGUGCAAGCGUUAAUCGGAAUUACUGGGCGUAAAGCGCGCGUAGGUGGUUUGUUAAGUUGGAUGUGAAAGCCCCGGGCUCAACCUGGGAACUGCAUCCAAAACUGGCAAGCUAGAGUACGGUAGAGGGUGGUGGAAUUUCCUGUGUAGCGGUGAAAUGCGUAGAUAUAGGAAGGAACACCAGUGGCGAAGGCGACCACCUGGACUGAUACUGACACUGAGGUGCGAAAGCGUGGGGAGCAAACAGGAUUAGAUACCCUGGUAGUCCACGCCGUAAACGAUGUCAACUAGCCGUUGGAAUCCUUGAGAUUUUAGUGGCGCAGCUAACGCAUUAAGUUGACCGCCUGGGGAGUACGGCCGCAAGGUUAAAACUCAAAUGAAAUUGACGGGGGGCCCGCACAAGCGGUGGGAGCAUGUGGGUUUAAUUCGAAAGCAACGCGAAAAAACCCUUACCAGGGCCUUGGACAUGCCAGAGAAACUUUUCCAGAA
Molecule: ribosomal RNA, 946 nt
Filed under: Pseudomonas sp.
Lineage: Bacteria; Pseudomonadati; Pseudomonadota; Gammaproteobacteria; Pseudomonadales; Pseudomonadaceae
Description: bacterial SSU rRNA
Rfam family: Bacterial small subunit ribosomal RNA
Source: RNAcentral